AGUGAACGCUGGCGGUAGGCCUAACACAUGCAAGUCGAACGGCAGCACAGUAAGAGCUUGCUCUUACGGGUGGCGAGUGGCGGACGGGUGAGGAAUACAUCGGAAUCUACUUUUUCGUGGGGGAUAACGUAGGGAGACUUACGCUAAUACCGCAUACGACCUACGGGUGAAAGCAGGGGAUCUUCGGACCUUGCGCGAUUGAAUGAGCCGAUGUCGGAUUAGCUAGUUGGCGGGGUAAAGGCCCACCAAGGCGACGAUCCGUAGCUGGUCUGAGAGGAUGAUCAGCCACACUGGAACUGAGACACGGUCCAGACUCCUACGGGAGGCAGCAGUGGGGAAUAUUGGACAAUGGGCGCAAGCCUGAUCCAGCCAUACCGCGUGGGUGAAGAAGGCCUUCGGGUUGUAAAGCCCUUUUGCUGGGAAAGAAAAGCAGCAGGUUAAUACCCCGCUGUUCUGACGGUACCCAAAGAAUAAGCACCGGCUAACUUCGUG
RNAcentral lists this ribosomal RNA (492 nucleotides) under uncultured bacterium. Its description in RNAcentral is "partial 16S ribosomal RNA". It matches the Rfam family "Bacterial small subunit ribosomal RNA", at positions 29 to 507 of the family's 1533-position model. The record is from RNAcentral.